Molecule: ribosomal RNA, 253 nt
Filed under: uncultured bacterium
Lineage: Bacteria
Description: partial 16S ribosomal RNA
Rfam family: Bacterial small subunit ribosomal RNA
Source: RNAcentral
UACGUAGGUGGCAAGCGUUGUCCGGAUUUACUGGGCGUAAAGAGCGCGCAGGCGGUCGGAUAAGUCGAAUGUGAAAGCCCCCGGCUCAACUGGGGAGGGUCAUUCGAUACUGUUCGACUCGAAGGCAGGAGAGGGAAGUGGAAUUCCCGGUGUAGUGGUGAAAUGCGUAGAUAUCGGGAGGAACACCAGUGGCGAAGGCGACUUCCUGGCCUGUUCUUGACACUGAGGCGCGAAAGCUAGGGGAGCAAACGGG